CGUCAAAUCAUCAUGCCCUAUAUGUCCUGGGCAACACACGUACUACAAUGGCUACAACAGAAAGAAACGAAUCCGCGAGGAAGAGUGAACCUAGAAAAAGUAGUCUCAGUUCGGAUUGAAGGCUGAAAUUCGCCUUCAUGAAGUCGGAAUUGCUAGUAAUUGCAGGUCAGCAUACUGCAGUGAAUACGUUCCCGGCUCUU
Molecule: ribosomal RNA, 200 nt
Filed under: uncultured prokaryote
Description: partial 16S ribosomal RNA
Rfam family: Bacterial small subunit ribosomal RNA
Source: RNAcentral